RNAcentral lists this ribosomal RNA (512 nucleotides) under uncultured bacterium. RNAcentral's name for it is "partial 16S ribosomal RNA". It matches the Rfam family "Bacterial small subunit ribosomal RNA", at positions 28 to 523 of the family's 1533-position model. The record is from RNAcentral.
GAUGAACGCUAGCUACAGGCUGAACACAUGCAAGUCGAGGGGUAACGAGAGGAAAGCUUGCUUUCCUUGUCGACGACCGGCGCACGGGUGAGUAACGCGUAUCAAACAUGCCCCCAACUAGGGAAUAACCUUGCGAAAGUAAGACUAUUACCCUAUAAUUUCCUCAGAUGUCAUCUGACGAGGAAUAAAGAUUUAGCGGUUGUGGAUGGGGAUGCGUCUGAUUAGCUUGUUGGCGGGGUAACGGCCCACCAAGGCAACGAUCAGUAGGGGUUCUGAGAGGAAGGUCCCCCACAUUGGAACUGAGACACGGCCCAGACUCCUACGGGAGGCAGCAGUGGGGAAUAUUGGACAAUGGGCGAAAGCCUGAUCCAGCCAUGCCGCGUGUGUGAAGAAGGCCUUUUGGUUGUAAAGCACUUUAAGCGAGGAGGAGGAGCUUCAGGUUAAUACCCUGGAUGCUUGGACGUUACUCGCAGAAUAAGCACCGGCUAACUCUGUGCCAGCCGCCGCGGUAA